RNAcentral lists this ribosomal RNA (781 nucleotides) under uncultured bacterium. RNAcentral describes it as "bacterial SSU rRNA". It matches the Rfam family "Bacterial small subunit ribosomal RNA", at positions 8 to 796 of the family's 1533-position model. The record is from RNAcentral.
AGAGUUUGAUCAUGGCUCAGGAUGAACGCUAGCGGCAGGCCUAAUACAUGCAAGUCGAACGGUGGUAGCAAUACCAUAGUGGCGCACGGGUGCGUAACGCGUAGCCAACCUACCCGAAUCUGGGGGAUAGCCCGCCGAAAGGCGGAUUAAUACCGCAUAAAACUGCAGCGCGGCAUCGCGUAACAGUUAAAGAUUUAUUGGAUUCGGAUGGGGCUGCGUGCCAUUAGCUAGUUGGGGGGGUAACGGCCCACCAAGGCGACGAUGGCUAGGGGAGCUGAGAGGCUGGUCCCCCACACGGGCACUGAGAUACGGGCCCGACUCCUACGGGAGGCAGCAGUAGGGAAUAUUGGGCAAUGGGCGAGAGCCUGACCCAGCCAUGCCGCGUGCAGGAUGAAGGCUUUCUGAGUCGUAAACUGCUUUUGCCAGGGAAGAAAAAAGGGCGUGCGCGCUCUACUGACGGUACCUGGUGAAUAAGCACCGGCUAACUCCGUGCCAGCAGCCGCGGUAAUACGGAGGGUGCAAGCGUUGUCCGGAUUUAUUGGGUUUAAAGGGUGCGUAGGCGGCCGAUUAAGUCUGGGGUGAAAGCCCGUUGCUCAACAACGGAACUGCCCUGGAAACUGGUCGGCUUGAGUACAGACGAGGGUGGCGGAAUGGAUGCUGUAGCGGUGAAAUGCAUAGAUAGCAUCCAGAACCCCGAUUGCGAAGGCAGCUGCCUAGACUGUAACUGACGCUGAGGCACGAAAGCGUGGGGAGCGAACAGGAUUAGAUACCCUGGUAGUCC